This 519-nucleotide ribosomal RNA is filed under the name uncultured bacterium. RNAcentral describes it as "bacterial SSU rRNA". It matches the Rfam family "Archaeal small subunit ribosomal RNA", at positions 345 to 866 of the family's 1478-position model. The record is from RNAcentral.
AACCUCCGCAAUGUGAGAAAUCGCGACGGGGGGAUCCCAAGUGCCAUUCUUAACGGGAUGGCUUUUCAUUAGUGUAAAGAGCUUUUGGAAUAAGAGCUGGGCAAGACCGGUGCCAGCCGCCGCGGUAACACCGGCAGCUCUAGUGGUAACAAUUUUUAUUGGGCCUAAAGCGUCCGUAGCCGGUUUAAUAAGUCUCUGGUGAAAUCCUGUAGCUUAACUGUGGGAAUUGCUGGAGAUACUAUUAGACUUGAGACCGGGAGAGGUUAGAGGUACUCCCAGGGUAGAGGUGAAAUUCUGUAAUCCUGGGAGGACCGCCUGUUGCGAAGGCGUCUAACUGGAACGGUUCUGACGGUGAGGGACGAAAGUUAGGGGCGCGAACCGGAUUAGAUACCCGGGUAGUCCUAACUGUAACGAUGCGGACUUGGUGUUGGGGUGGCUUUGAGCUGCUCAGUGCCGAAGGGAAGCUGUUAAGUCCGCCGCCUGGGAAGUACGGUCGCAAGACUGAAACUUAAAGGAAUU